AACGAACGCUGGCGGCAUGCCUAACACAUGCAAGUCGAACGAGACCUUCGGGUCUAGUGGCGCACGGGUGCGUAACGCGUGGGAACCUCCCUUUAGGUUCGGAAUAACUCAGAGAAAUUUGAGCUAAUACCGGAUGAUGUCUUCGGACCAAAGAUUUAUCGCCUUUAGAUGGGCCCGCGUUGGAUUAGCUAGUUGGUGGGGUAAAGGCCUACCAAGGCGACGAUCCAUAGCUGGUCUGAGAGGAUGAUCAGCCACACUGGGACUGAGACACGGCCCAGACUCCUACGGGAGGCAGCAGUGGGGAAUAUUGGACAAUGGGCGAAAGCCUGAUCCAGCAAUGCCGCGUGAGUGAUGAAGGCCUUAGGGUUGUAAAGCUCUUUUACCCGAGAUGAUAAUGACAGUAUCGGGAGAAUAAGCUCCGGCUAACUCCGUG
This 433-nucleotide ribosomal RNA is filed under the name uncultured bacterium. RNAcentral describes it as "partial 16S ribosomal RNA". It matches the Rfam family "Bacterial small subunit ribosomal RNA", at positions 29 to 507 of the family's 1533-position model. The record is from RNAcentral.